Non-coding RNA from Podarcis lilfordi (Lilford's wall lizard), 90 nucleotides. The record is from the annotation of a GenBank genome assembly. Lineage: Eukaryota; Metazoa; Chordata; Lepidosauria; Squamata; Lacertidae.
GCGCCUCUUCAGCGAGGUGGGAGGAGGAAAGGAAGGGGCUCCGUAAGGGCUCCCUUCCUUUCCUUCUCCCGCUUCGCUGAAGAGUGUCGC